This 646-nucleotide ribosomal RNA is filed under the name uncultured bacterium. RNAcentral's name for it is "bacterial SSU rRNA". It matches the Rfam family "Bacterial small subunit ribosomal RNA", at positions 143 to 807 of the family's 1533-position model. The record is from RNAcentral.
AUAGCAGCUGGAAACGGCUGAUAAAACCGCAUAAGCGCACAGCAUCGCAUGAUGCAGUGUGAAAAACUCCGGUGGUAUGAGAUGGACCCGCGUCUGAUUAGCUGGUUGGUGAGGUAACGGCCCACCAAGGCGACGAUCAGUAGCCGGCCUGAGAGGGUGACCGGCCACAUUGGGACUGAGACACGGCCCAAACUCCUACGGGAGGCAGCAGUGGGGAAUAUUGCACAAUGGGGGAAACCCUGAUGCAGCGACGCCGCGUGAAGGAAGAAGUAUCUCGGUAUGUAAACUUCUAUCAGCAGGGAAGAUAAUGACGGUACCUGACUAAGAAGCCCCGGCUAACUACGUGCCAGCAGCCGCGGUAAUACGUAGGGGGCAAGCGUUAUCCGGAUUUACUGGGUGUAAAGGGAGCGUAGGCGGCGGAGCAAGUCAGAAGUGAAAGCCCGGGGCUCAACCCCGGGACGGCUUUUGAAACUGCCCUGCUUGAUUUCAGGAGAGGUAAGCGGAAUUCCUAGUGUAGCGGUGAAAUGCGUAGAUAUUAGGAGGAACACCAGUGGCGAAGGCGGCUUACUGGACUGACAAUGACGCUGAGGCUCGAAAGCGUGGGGAGCAAACAGGAUUAGAUACCCUGGUAGUCCACGCCGUAAAC